UCUAAACCCUAAAAACUAAUAAUAAUACUAACUAAAACUAUCAAUUUGAGUUUUUAUUAAUCUUAAUAACUAAACUAACUACAAAAAAUAAUAAAAAUUAUACAAAAAAACAUAAAAACAAGAUAAUCAAUUAUUUUUAAAAAAAUACCUUUUUUUCUCUUCUCUUUCUCUCUUUUUCUCUCUUUUUUCGGCGCCACCUCGUUUUUCUCUUCUUCUUCUU
This 220-nucleotide long non-coding RNA is filed under the name Gossypium raimondii (Peruvian cotton). Its description in RNAcentral is "long non-coding RNA (GRAI_LNC006180)". The record is from RNAcentral. Lineage: Eukaryota; Viridiplantae; Streptophyta; Magnoliopsida; Malvales; Malvaceae.